This 54-nucleotide transfer RNA is filed under the name Anolis mariarum. RNAcentral describes it as "partial tRNA-Ala". The record is from RNAcentral. Lineage: Eukaryota; Metazoa; Chordata; Lepidosauria; Squamata; Anolidae.
UAAGACUUGUGAACCACUAGUUCACAUCUUCUGAAUGCAACUCAAACACUUUCA